Molecule: ribosomal RNA, 1534 nt
Filed under: Streptococcus pneumoniae
Lineage: Bacteria; Bacillati; Bacillota; Bacilli; Lactobacillales; Streptococcaceae
Description: bacterial SSU rRNA
Rfam family: Bacterial small subunit ribosomal RNA
Source: RNAcentral
AGAGUUUGAUCCUGGCUCAGGACGAACGCUGGCGGCGUGCCUAAUACAUGCAAGUAGAACGCUGAAGGAGGAGCUUGCUUCUCUGGAUGAGUUGCGAACGGGUGAGUAACGCGUAGGUAACCUGCCUGGUAGCGGGGGAUAACUAUUGGAAACGAUAGCUAAUACCGCAUAAGAGUAGAUGUUGCAUGACAUUUGCUUAAAAGGUGCACUUGCAUCACUACCAGAUGGACCUGCGUUGUAUUAGCUAGUUGGUGGGGUAACGGCUCACCAAGGCGACGAUACAUAGCCGACCUGAGAGGGUGAUCGGCCACACUGGGACUGAGACACGGCCCAGACUCCUACGGGAGGCAGCAGUAGGGAAUCUUCGGCAAUGGACGGAAGUCUGACCGAGCAACGCCGCGUGAGUGAAGAAGGUUUUCGGAUCGUAAAGCUCUGUUGUAAGAGAAGAACGAGUGUGAGAGUGGAAAGUUCACACCGUGACGGUAUCUUACCAGAAAGGGACGGCUAACUACGUGCCAGCAGCCGCGGUAAUACGUAGGUCCCGAGCGUUGUCCGGAUUUAUUGGGCGUAAAGCGAGCGCAGGCGGUUAGAUAAGACUGAAGUUAAAGGCUGUGGCUUAACCAUAGUAGGCUUUGGAAACUGUUUAACUUGAGUGCAAGAGGGGAGAGUGGAAUUCCAUGUGUAGCGGUGAAAUGCGUAGAUAUAUGGAGGAACACCGGUGGCGAAAGCGGCUCUCUGGCUUGUAACUGACGCUGAGGCUCGAAAGCGUGGGGAGCAAACAGGAUUAGAUACCCUGGUAGUCCACGCUGUAAACGAUGAGUGCUAGGUGUUAGACCCUUUCCGGGGUUUAGUGCCGUAGCUAACGCAUUAAGAACUCCGCCUGGGGAGUACGACCGCAAGGUUGAAACUCAAAGGAAUUGACGGGGGCCCGCACGAGCGGUGGAGCAUGUGGUUUAAUUCGAAGCAACGCGAAGAACCUUACCAGGUCUUGACAUCCCUCUGACCGCUCUAGAGAUAGAGUUUUCCUUCGGGACAGAGGUGACAGGUGGUGCAUGGUUGUCGUCAGCUCGUGUCGUGAGAUGUUGGGGUAAGUCCCGCAACGAGCGCAACCCCUAUUGUUAGUUGCCAUCAUUCAGUUGGGCACUCUAGCGAGACUGCCGGUAAUAAACCGGAGGAAGGUGGGGAUGACGUCAAAUCAUCAUGCCCCUUAUGACCUGGGCUACACACGUGCUACAAUGGCUGGUACAACGAGUCGCAAGCCGGUGACGGCAAGCUAAUCUCUUAAAGCCAGUCUCAGUUCGGAUUGUAGGCUGCAACUCGCCUACAUGAAGUCGGAAUCGCUAGUAAUCGCGGAUCAGCACGCCGCGGUGAAUACGUUCCCGGGCCUUGUACACACCGCCCGUCACACCACGAGAGUUUGUAACACCCGAAGUCGGUGAGGUAACCGUAAGGAGCCAGCCGCCUAAGGUGGGAUAGAUGAUUGGGGUGAAGUCGUAACAAGGUAGCCGUAUCGGAAGGUGCGGCUGGAUCACCU